AGAGAAGAUCAGAUGGGCAACAAGGCUUCAUUCCUGUGCUUUCCUACCACUGUUCAUGGGUGGCAUUCCUCUCUUGGAACCCUAUCGUGGGCACUGCGUAAUAACUUCUCUAUUGUUCAGUUUUUGUUGGAAAACUGUUGCCUUCGUGAGGAUCUUCAGGAUUGGCAGUGUAUCAUGUGAUGUGCGUAAGAAGUGGUUUUCACUUACCUUAGCAAAAUACUGUUUCACAUUUUACUCCUCAGGCUUGAUUUCUCCAGUUCCCUCAUUUGUACUUACCUUGUUUUCUGACCUAACAGUAAUGGUCCAGGAGAAAUACUGCUCUGCCAUAAAAAUCAGAACUGUUCCUCAACUUCCUAGAAAUAAGAGAACAAAAGAUUUACUUUAGGUAAGUCACCAGGGCUGGAACUGGUGGAAGUUUAUGCACAUGGGCUUUCUUCUGUCCUAAUGUUUAUUUCUUAAAUGAGAUUGAGCUGUGUAUGUGGUUAAUGAGGCGGUUCAUGUAGUACAUUAGUACUUGCCUUCAGUAGUUUUAAAUAAAUGUACAGCCUGAGUGGAGUCUUCUCCAUUUCUUCUCCUACUGUAUUCUUGAUGCGAGUGAGACAUUGCUUUGUGGCUGUAAUUUUCCUCCUCAUUUUAUAAUCUUACAUUUAGUGUUGUGUUUGAGGGGUAAUGAUUCUGCCUUUUAUACGCUUUUCUUUCUUUAUCAGUCUUGGAAGUGACGUUUCUUGUCUUGCUUAUUGAGUGACUUGUAUAGGGUGAAGACUCUUGAUCAACUUUCUGUGGCCUCGUACGGUGAGAAAUAUUGCUUGGAUUUACAGACUUUGGCCAGGGGCAGGAUGAUCUAUGAAUACGUUAUGUGGCAUUAAGUAUAUGCUGUCUCAAAGGAGUAGCUGCUUUAGAGACUGCCUGGAAGAUUUUAGGAAGAUUUUAAUUGCCUGUAAGACACUGUUUGUGUGACAGAUUUGCACAGGAGGUUCUAGGUGGUGGCUUAAUGGGCUAGGGACCUUUUUCCUUUAAUAGUUUUCAAGUUUCUGCAGUCUUCGACUUUAUCAUGACAUUUAUUUUCAUUUUAUGUAGUUGGGCAGUUCUGAUGAGCUUCCAGUCCUCCAAAUUUGACUGUAUUUUUAAUAGCUAUUCACCGUAUUAUACUGCUGUUUGUGAUGAAUUAAGUUUCUUGAAUUGGGUAGAAGUAGAACUGAGCUAAAAAAGAAAAUUCUAUAAUUGCAGUUAACUUCUAGCGUCAACCAAAUGGAAUACCAGAGGUCAUUCCAUCUUUAAUAAUUCAUUCACUAUUCAUUAGAAUAAUCAUCAUUAAUAUGAUACCAGUACUCAUGAAAAUGAAGGGAAACUUUUUUUGAUAGCCUUAAUGGAAAAGCACAUUCUGUAAUUUUAUUCAUGUUUUCAGGGGGGAAAAGAAGAGUUGCACAGGGAAAAUAAAAGUAUUUAUUCCUAGAUAAUGUAAACUUCUAACGCUGAAAACUCAGUGCUGUAGGGUGGUUGUUUCUUAAUAGCUCACAGACAAAAAAUUUUCCACCUGGUUUUUGUGGUCGUAUUUCCAUUACUCUAAAUUUUAAGUCUGAUGAAAAUUAAUGAUAUUUGCCACAGAUUUCAGUUGAAGGAAAGCUGGGUCUCCUUCGUGCAGGUAAAAUAAGAAGGAGUAGGACACUAGAAAGGUACUAAGUAAUGAAAAAUCUUUAACAUGUAAACAGAAUUGCUGUUAUUUGCUACAUUCUUUCUGAUAAGGCAGAUUUUUUUUUGUGUGCAUUUUUUGUACAAUAAGUCUUGCUCUUUCUCUUUGCAAACCAUUCACACAACAGAGCAUGCAUUCUUGUUUUUGUUUUUAAUGCUGGUGUACUGAAAUUUGCUUUUGUAAAUGCAUUAUGUGAACUACUAAAUUGGGGAAAACUUGUGUAUUAUCUUCCCUUUCUGUUUUCUGAGAGAGAUGUUACUGAGAGCUUGAUCUGCAGGUUUCCUGUAAGAGAGCAGACUGAUUGCCCAAGGGAUUGCCACUGCAGCUCAGUCAAGGCAGAAAAUUCAUCAACUGUGUGGUUUUAUCAAUUGCAAAGUAUUAUUAAGCAGUUGCUACGCUUAUGUCAAAGUAAAAUUCCUUUAAUAUAUCAAUUAAAAGUUCAAAGGCUGUCUUACAGUUCAUCUGUACUUGAUCAAGGAGUGUGUUCAAUUUUCCAUGUAACAGCAGAUUUUUCUUUUGUUAGCUGUCUGAGUUGCAGUGUAAUUGCGUUACAGGAAGCUCGGCAAAACAUUCAUCACUUUGGGCACUGAAGUGUGUCGUCUUAGGCAUUCUACUUGAAAGAACACGGGAGUACUUGUUAGUAUGUGUGGUUGGGCCUGGUGAUUCCGAGCAGGGCACAGUCCUCAGCUACACAUACGUGAAUUUCUCUCCUUGGCCUUCGUCGAAGAAGAUCUUCAGGCAUAAACUUGCAUAUUUUCCUUUACAGAGAUGGACACAAAUAUGUAUGUAAGCAUUUUCUCGAGGAGAGAUGGAUUUUCAAAGGCAUUGAAUACCUACUUCCUUUAAUUAUUCUAUUGUGCCUUCAGUGGGUAAUUCAAUUUUAUCUCCACAACUUGUAUCAAAUGAAGUUUAGCAAAUGAAUCAUGCUCUUAAACUGAUUAGGAGUAAUGAAGAAAGGAAGUUCUGUACCUGCUCACUUCUUGAUUUAAGCAAUAUAUUCCUGUUUGUCUUGGCUACCUCCUUGCUUUGGGGCUCCCUCCUUAAAAGAAGGGAACGCAUUAGGUUUUUCAGGAGUUCUUGUAGAGUUUUAAUUAUUUUAAUUUAAUUAUAUCAAAUGUUGACAUACUGGUGACGAGUCAAAUGUGACAAAACCAAGAGAGUAAAAUCCUUCUGCUUUGAGAGGAAAACAACAUUGGGUCUCAGAUGAGAGCAUCUGCACACGCCCUUUUUGAGAUCAUUCGGUCAGAAAUAGCAUCUAACUUCUUCUAGUGCAUUAAAUUUAAUUGCUUUAUAUGUCCGAAGCUCAUCCAUAACCAUUGUAUCUGAGAACUACCCAUUAAACGCAAAUGCACAAAUCUUCCUCUUCUGUGCUCUGUUAACAGGGAUGUGCUUAAAAGUUACUGCUGGUCCUUUUUAAAUAUACAUCGUGUGAGGAUCCUGACCUACCUGAGAGGGACUUUGGGGGAAAUGAAGACGAAACAUGGUGUUGUAUGUACUUCUGUGAGUCAUGGAGGUGGGGGGCCGCUCGUGUUUGACAGUGAGUUUGGAAACAUAGGGCAGUCUCCCCAGGAGACCAGCCUGGAUCAGCAACCAUGUCCUUUUGGUGGUGACACUGCAGUGUUCUCAGAGCACGACAGGUGGUGGCUCAGUGAAGCUGGUGUGAGCACAGGAGCUGGGAUGGUGAGUGGGCUGUGUCCUUUCAUGUGGCCCUGUGCUGGAGAAGAUAUAUUGCUGCCAAGACAUCACACAGCCAAUUCAGCAGCUUGCAAAGCACUUCUUUGCAUCUGAGAAAGUUGUGCUGACUGAGGUUAGAAAUGUGCUGUAAACUUAGAUGGAAGGAGCAAAUCUGUGCAUCCUUUGUCAUUCCUGUGCAGCUGAUAAUAGUUCCCAUAGAGUCCUUUUUGUGUGUCUGCAUUGUAUAAACCAUCACCAUAGAGAAGUGCAUGUUCUUGGUCUUUGCUGCUUUCUGCAAAAGGAUGCUUAUUGGUGGGAGGAAACAUACAGCAGCUUGUACAGGGAGGCAGCAAGCUCCCUGCUGGUAGCUGUGCAGUGGGCAGGAGCCGUAUUGGAGGCUAUGGGGUGCUCCUCAGAGCUGUGUCAGAGCCUCUCCUGAAGGGCAGCUGUGAGGUAGAACUUUCCAUGCCUGUGGCCCCUCCUGACUGCUUUUAUUAGCAACUGAAGUGAUGAUGGUGAAAUGAUGGUUCUGAUGGGGAGGUUCCAGGAUGCUUCCUGUGUACUCCACGGUUAGUUGCAGUAAGAACAGGUGCACAUCAGUGAUUUAUUGAAUUUCUUGUCUCUUUGUGGACGUUUCUCUCCUCAAGAAAAUGUCCUAUUCAUAAUUGCAUCCAUAGACUGAAGAGGAAGCAGAAUUUAGAAGAAAAGGGGAACAGCUUUGCUAACAUCUUCAGGUGCUGUUUAUUUUUAUAUAAUACAAAAGUUGCUCAAACAGAUGUGUUUCUCUCCUCCUUUAGUCUUGGAAGCAAUAGAUCUGACUUGAUGCUUGGACAGGCUGUCUGGAAAGAAGCGAGCCUCCUUCAGAGGUCACCCUGGCUGCUGACUAACCUCGUGAUUUGGCUUCCACUGAUAAUCUGUUUGCCAGAGCGUUGAGGGAUUCUUGUAGGCUAUGAGGAGGCAGGUGGCGAUCCUGAAUUAUGCUGAGGUGGAGAAGUGGAUGCGUGGUGGAAGAACAGGCAGAAUGGCAGCAUGGCUUCCCAGCGCAUGGCAGGGAUAACAGGCUGCAGACUGCACCGGGAGCCUGCAAGACGAAGUGGGAGGACCAGGGAGAAUUCAGGAUGAUGUCUAACAUCUUUGUUUGCAAACCAAACUUUGGGUAUCACACGAACGAGGUUUUAUUUCAGCAGCAAAUCAUGACCUGUUUGAAAAACAAUACUUGGUACUAAGAACUGCAUAAACAUACUACUGAGUAUUAUUGUCAGAGUUAGCAUUUAUUUGCUGGUAUAGGGGAGAAAAAAAAAACAGAAAACAACCUAGCGGAAGGUUUUCAUUCAAUUUCUUAUUAAUACUUGAGCCACAUCGUGGUUUGUGCCUUGUGCAAUUUGUAAUAACAACUUUGUUAGAAAAGACUUUCUACUGUUAAUGACUCAAACCUUGUUACCCAUUACUGGUUCAUAUGAGAAUUUCUACCCAAAUUGGUGAGUAGUGCGGGGGUAAGGACUCUUCUGUGAGUUUGGCUUUGCAGUUAUCUUUUGCAGACUGUAGUUUUCUUUCAUUUUACUCAAGUUUUCCUGCAGUACUGUCAUUUCCUUGUGAUGGAGGUUCAUCUUUGCCUUCAUUCUUCAUGAAUAUAUGCAUAUUCUGGCUUCCAGGGUUGCUGCAGAUUUCUCAGACUUUGUGGAAGUUAUUUUUACAGAGAAUAUUAAUAUUUUGUGAUUCAGUGAAGUUAAACAGUCUGAGGUUCUUUAAAGUGUGGUUAUAUAGAAAAUGAGAUAAAUGCUAUGAGUAAAUAAGAGGUAAAUCUUUGAUGUCCUGCUGGCAUAGAAAAUCUGCAGUUGCAGUGCUACUUGGAAAACUUUGCUGGGAGAUAGGUAGGAAUAAGGUAAAAGCUUAGGAAGAGUGUCUCAAAACCUUAAGCUUUCUGUGUGAUGUACAGGGGAUAACUAGGAAAAAGCUGAAGGGGCUGGGAUUUUUUUUGCUGAAGAAAGCUUCUCAUGUAUAUGAUGUGGCACACUUAUGAGAAAUAUGCUUAUGCCACUUUGUAUCUUAUACGUUUUCCUCUUGUGAGAAAAAUGACUGUGGCGCUUUGUAUUUUACGUGUUUUCGUCUAGAGUUAUUUAUUUUCAUUCUCUCUUUAGCAGAAAUACAUGGGAGGAAGGGAGGCGGACAGGCAUAAAUGGCAUAAAUGUUCUCGGGACUGCCUAUGCCUGUGAAGUAUGGUAACGUGUGAACAGUCCUGAACGCUUCACUACUUCUGCGUUCAGAACUGAUGGAUUUCAUAUGUGAAUUACUGUACAUAUGGCUCAGCUGUAAUGCAGCUUCAACUUAAGGGCAAUAAAUGCUGUUUCUCUUCUCGAACCAUAGUUCAAGCCAAUAUCAUUACCCGCACUUAAGUAGGUACACGUGUAUGUUUCUCAUCCAUGUCUCAAGGAUUUCUUUCCUUAAAUUUUUAGAUGUGGGCUGUGCUAGCAGAUUUUUUUCUAGCCACUUGUUUCCUUUCACCUGAAUUCUUCUGAAAAACAUUACUUAAAAUACCCUAGUGUACUUGAAUAAAUAAAAAGAAAGGAAAAAAAAAAGAAAAAUCAAGGAAAGAGAAGGAAAGACGGAUGUUUUUGUUUACAUUUAGCUAUCAAAAAUAAAUGAAAACAAGUUGCAGAUGUAGAUGGGUCUGGCUCUGUGAAUAUUUACUGGCACUUGCUCAAACAAGAAGCCUUUGAAAAGCUGAAGAGGAAUUUGGUAGAAAGUAGCAGUUUCAUUCUGCAGGGUUAAUGACUGUUAGAUGCUCUAGCUGGGGCUGGAGAGGGCUUUGUGGUGCUGUGAGGUAGGCAGAGGGCUGGGGUUUGCACCAUGGGGUUCCCUGCAACAUCAUAAUUGACCUCAUUUUAGCCUUUUUGUGAGCUCCAAGACACCUUAAGGGCACAGCUCAUGUUCCUCAGAAGAAAGCUCAGGUGUCUCAAGGUACUUGGCCUUGCUUUGGUGGCUGGACACAAGCUGGACUUUGAGGUGCCAUCACUCCUGCUGUGCAGAGGCCUCACGUCACCUGCUGACCAGCUGAUGUGUGGCCUUGGACUGAAUUGCUGCAAAAACCAACGAGGGUGGUUCAACCAUCACCUCUAACAUGAGCUCUCCCUUCCCUGCAGUCGCUGAGAGGAGCUUGCAUGGCUUGGGCCUCUGCAGGCUCUGGAAACAUUGGGAAAGGAGUCAGGAAGGAUGGACCAUCAGAGUGUCUCUUCUCACAGUCCUUUUCUUGGAGGUACUUCUGCCUUUCUGUAGGAUAGAGCCCAGGAGCAGCUUGCCUGUAGGCAUUUGCUUCACAGCUAAUCCUCCUCUCACUAAAAUUAAUUACGUUUUAAAAUGCCCACAGGUGAUUAACCCUUCCGGACACAGCCAGAAGAAAGAGUCUAACUAAGCCAUUGACAUUUGUAUUGCAUGACGGUAAUGGUGAUGCAGAUGGCAUUUGCACAUGUGUGCCUUGGCUCAGUUUCUUAAUGAAUUAGUUUUGCAAAGGUGUUAUGAGGCUGGCUGCGUUUCUUUCCCUUUCCUGCAUUUCCUCUGGCACCAGCGCCCUUUCCUUCAUGUUUCUUAGGGCAAGAUACUGCAUUUCCUUUCAAUCCUGAGUCAGUAGCAAGAUCUAGGUUGAUGUAUUUAGCUGGGUUGUGAGCAUCUGCCUUUCCUCCCCUGGGUACAUGUGACGCAUGACACCAGUCUACUUGAAAAAAAGUAACGUAACAAAAUCAUCUAAAUCAUUAAAUGGUUCAAGCAAAUAAUCUUCAAACAAUGAGCAUACGUGGUACAUAUUUAUCUCCCAUCUCAAUUAGACUGUGCCUUAAUUAAGAUAAAUUGGCUUUUCUCUUUAUUUACCAGAAUAAGACUGGGUAAGGUUUUGUUCUCUCUCACAAAACCUGGAUGUUUCCAGGCACGUGAGACUGUUUUCCCUCAGUCCAACUGGCUCCUCUCAAGCUGAUUUCUGUUUGGCAUGACAAACAAGCAAGAUAAUAGCAAUAAGGAGCCUUCUUCAGACCUUAACUGGUGGGAGGCUGAGGGUUCAACUGUUUUGAUAUGAGUAGAGUAAGCUUGCCACUUCUUUUGCUGGGCAGGAGGACCUGCUGCUCUAUAGUGAGGCACUGACUCGGAGGCACAUCCAGAUGCAGUAUUAAUGGCUAAAGGGAAUAGGCUGGUUCAUGUCAUGAAAGUGCAUGCAGCUUUGGGAAAGACACAUCUAUCAGCUUUAUCUAAGGUGAUUCUGUGGUUCUACUUGGUUACACAGGUGGUGUGAGGAAAGCUGUUUUCUUCCUACUGCCUUGCUUGCUGAUAGCAAGAAAAGAAACAUCGAAGGUGUGCUGAAUUAGGGCAGUUUUCAUCCUUACAACCCUGAAGAAAAGGGAAGCUUAUUGCUUUGGUGUGUCUCACCUUUCAUCCUUUUUCUCAUUUUGCCAUUUACUCUUGCCAAAAGGAGAAAAUGGGACUGUAGAAGUGGGAGCAAUUUGGGUCACUGUGUUUGUGUUUGCAGCAUAUUGGGUAGUUAAUAUGAUUAGAUUUGAAUGACCUCCUUUCCAGAUGCUUGUUGUCUCAAGUCUCAUUUCCCUUAGCUUUCUCAUCAGCCUUUCAUUUUUUUUAUUAUUUCCUUUUUCCUUUACCUCAGAAGGGUGCUUCUUACAUGAAUAGUUGCACGUAACUGAAGAUACACCCUGUCCGGAGAAAUCAACUGGGCUAAACUGGUACCAUAAAGUUACACUUGGGGAAACUUACUUUUCCAAAGACACCUGAAAGGGUUCUUGUUAUUCCUGCUCAUCCUGUGGGAAAGUAACUUAUUUGUUCUAGGCAAAUACUGACAUCAUUGCAUAGUCUUCUGGCUAGUUUUAUGCAGCAGUAGAUCCUUAAAACCUUUGACUUUCAUUAAGAUACGCACACCAUCAAUUUUAGGAAUGCCACAAUUAAGAUCUCACAUUAAAACUAACCAAGAGCAUUGGAACAAAGAGGACCCCAAAGAAAUACAACAUCUACAAUCAGCUCACAUCUUCAGUAACAUACUGUAACUGCCAGAGCAUUGGCACACUUCUAAAAUUUGAGGUUAAUAAUGUUUGUAAAACUUUGCAUUGCUUUGCAUCACUUGCUUAUUUGAGCACACAAACACAGUUUAUGCUCCUGGGAAUUUUAUGAAAAUCUUCUGUUUACACAUAUAAAUUGAAUUUCUUUCUCAUGCAACCAUGAAAUAUGAUCUGGUCAUUGCAUCCUUUUUUUUUUUUUUUUUUAGCAUACAUUUUCAACAUGUAAGUGUGCUUGAAGGAUAGAUCUUUUCAGAAAACAUAUGUAUCAUUUUAAAACAGCACAAAUCUAGAUUUCAGCGUGAAAUAAUUCUGUUUCUCAGUUUUUUUUUUUUUUAUUACCAAGCAUGCAGUCUAAAAAUUGCUGGCAAAUACUUAACUAAUAGCAUAAGGAAGUGUGUCCAGAAUAAAUAAAAAGCCCUUAUUGAAAGACUGGAGUAAAAUGAAUGUGCAAUUCAUCUGGGGAGCCACGUUUGGAAGGUGUUGUGCUGUGGCAGGGUUGUCCAAUUUAUCAAGGCUGAACAUUUUGCUGAAUGCUGCUUGUACCCUCUCUGAAAACCCUUACAAUUCCACAUUUUCCGCUGCACAAAGGCCAUUAAAACUACAUUACUUGGAAUAACAGUCGCCCCUAAAUUAUGAGCGUAUUACCAAGUGUAUUACCAUCGAAAUGUGCACUAAGAAAGACUUUUAAUUUUGUAAACAAAUUAAUACUUCUUAAAACAAAACUGAAAAUUAAGCCUAAGAUACAUGAUGUACUAGGAUGUCUCCAAGUAACCAUGACGACAGUUUGGGCUUUGUGCUCGUUUGCUAUAUCUGAUAUCAGAGUGUGUACAUUUUUUUUUCUAACUGGAGAGUCCGAAGGGGGGUUUACAUAGCUACUAGGGAAAGUAGCCAUUCUCAUGGUAACUUAGAGGUGAGAAUAGAAUUGUGCUACUGCAGGUAUCUUCCUAUGCUUGCCAAACAACCUACUUACUUUUUCUUUUCCUCUCAGUGUCAGAGCUAUUUCUUGCGCACAGUUUUAUGUGCCACCAACAAACAACAAAAUGUGUGUUUUCUGUCUAAGUAGAUGUUAAAUCUCCAGAGGCCUGGUUAGCAAGAGUGUCAGUGCAUUCUUUAGAUGAAAAAGCUGAUGUGGUGACUGUAGGAACCAAGGAAAACUUCCCAGUUAGUUGUGAAGACUCAGCAGUGAUGCGAUACAGGAUCUACAGCAGACUCAUGCAUUCUGUGUAGCUGUGUGAGGUCAUAAAGUAUAGGAAUAAGUAAAUUCAAUCCCAUAAAACUGUUGUUUUGUGGCCCUACAGCAUGAGAAGCCCUUUGCCGUUUUGGCAUACUCUGCCUAAUAAAUCUCCAGCUCUGCCUGGCAAAUUGUCAAGAGUAAUGAUGUCCUACAAGUUGAGAAAUUCAACAGAUUAUUCCUUUACUAUGAUGUGAAGUUUUUCCAUUACUAAUGAAUUAAGUAUUGAAAUCAAAACAACUCUGAGGACGCUGUUCAAGCAGGAUUAUGUAUUCCUUUGCAGACAAGCAGCAAUAAUACUUUUUUUUUUUUUCACAAAUAGUACUUUUGCAUUCUUUAUUCUGGGUCCUUUUUGUAGUGAACAUAGAAUCACAGAAUCAUACAAUGGCCUGGGUUGAACAGGACCACAGUGAUCAUUAGGUUUCAACCCCCCUGCUGUGUGCAGGGUCGCCAACCACCAGACCAGGCUGCCCAGAGCCACAUCCAGCCUGGCUUUGAAUGCCUCCAGCAAUGGGGCAUCCACAACCUCCUUGGGCAGCCUGUUCCAGUGCGUCACCACCCUCUGAGUGAAAAACUUCCUCCUAAUAUCUACCUCUCUAAUAUCUAAGCCUCCCCUGUCUCAGUUUAAAACCAUUCCCCCUUGUCCUAUCACUGUCAAUCCAAGAAUCCUGUUUUGUGGCCUGACUGAUUAAGACAUAUAGUUUAAACAAAGUGUACCAACCCACAACAAAGUAAAAUAUGCAUACUUUCUUUAAUACUUGUAACAAGAGAAGCACUUUGCUUCUGGAAGGUAUCCUAAAAAUGGAAAUAAAUACAUGGAUCAAAUUCUUGA
Long non-coding RNA from Gallus gallus (chicken), 10475 nucleotides. RefSeq lists it as uncharacterized. The record is from RefSeq and is a predicted model, not a curated record. NCBI's taxonomy places the organism in Eukaryota, Metazoa, Chordata, Aves, Galliformes, Phasianidae. The transcript has 3 exons.